RNAcentral lists this long non-coding RNA (468 nucleotides) under Nicotiana tabacum (common tobacco). Its description in RNAcentral is "long non-coding RNA (NTAB_LNC001427)". Lineage: Eukaryota; Viridiplantae; Streptophyta; Magnoliopsida; Solanales; Solanaceae. The record is from RNAcentral.
UUAAGUGUUUUACCAAAGUAGUUAAACACAUACAAAAAGCACUUGAAAUCAGAAAGCUUAAAUGGGUAGAUUAGCUUUGCUCAGAAUGUUGACCGAGAGAACCGAGAUUUGAUGUAGAGAGCGAUUCCUGAAACCUGAAAAGAGGAAAUAAGUGAUUCGUUUGAGCAAAUCAGUGAGACAAAUUUGAACAACAAAGUUGCAAAAUUUGACAAAGCACGGCACAUUAGACCAAUAAAGAUAAUGAAUCAAAUCUGCAAAAAUAAUUUGAACAUCAAAAGACAGAGAUGGAACUCUCAAAUGAAAAAGGGAGAAGGAAAAAGGAAAAAGGAGGAUAAGAAGAUGCAGCAACAGAGAGGGAAGGUACUACCGGUUGAAAAUUUGUGCUCUUACUCUGAUUUUAAAUGGAAAGAAAAGUGAUUGACUAUCAGUGGGAAGAAAAUCGUGUCAUCGGUUUCGAGAGAGGGUGGA